Molecule: non-coding RNA, 1140 nt
Organism: Paramuricea clavata
Lineage: Eukaryota; Metazoa; Cnidaria; Anthozoa; Malacalcyonacea; Plexauridae
Source: the annotation of a GenBank genome assembly
CUCAUUUUCAAGACAUGUGGUCUCGAUCCAACUAAAUACAAAGGACAUAGUUUCCGCAUUGGCGCGGCAACAUUUGCUGCGGAAUGCGGUUUUUCUGAUGCCCAAAUUCGAUCAAUGGGUCGGUGGAAAUCCGACGCCUUUCGUAAGUAUAUUCGAGGUCCAGGCCUGUGCUCAACCGCUUUGCCUAGAUAGGCCGAGUUUGGUUGUUUGUCUUUUUUCACCGGAUUGAUCAUGGCUGUCAAUAAGCAUUUAAUAUUUUGGCAAACUCCGCUUCCGUGCACAUCUGACUGGUCAAGUUGACGCAGGGGCAAGACUUGACUACAAUGAUUAUUAUGAUGCACGUUACUAUACUGCGACAUACUGCUUUAGAGUGUUCUGUGAUGCUGACGCAGGGGCAAGGCUAUCAGAACACUUUUGUCUUGUCGGUGGUGGUUAUACCUGGCAGUUCAACGCAGGGGCACGAAUUGUUUGUGUAUAGCUAACACCCCCUUUUAUAUUAUGAGCAGUUUAAUUAAUAUUUGCCAAUACUAUCACUCAAUUUUGUAGAAUUGCUGCUUGCUUGUUUCAUCGGUCUGUAAUCACUUUAUCUGUCGAUGCCUUGUCACGCUGGGGUGGGGUAUGUCUUCUUUACCCAAGUAGACUUGUGGCGUUUUUACCCCCACCUUUUCUGUGCUAACUGUUAAUGAAUUACUUUGGUUAAUAAUUUGUUAUGUUAAACUUAUGUCAUUGAUUACAAAAUUAAUAAACCGGCAUGUGCGUUAUGCAAUACGCACAUUGCCAUAAUUAUUCCAAGUGGUGUCUGACUCGUUUAUUGCGGGUAAAGAACAUGCACAGAAAACAGAGCUCAUCGUGACAAGAUAUCCCCCAGAUAUAGUGUUAAAUAAAGGAAGCGAUAAAGGAAUUAUUGGCAUACCAAUGAAGAUUUUAUUGCUUCCUGAGCUUAGGAUAUAUAAAUAGACAAACCUGACAUGGGACACAUGGGUAUUUUCCCCGUAAUUUUCUGAUCACAUGAAUGUAAUGCGUGCAGGAAAACGGAAGGGAGAGGUGAUACAUAUCUAUAGCAGAAUGCGCAUCUGGUUCAUUCUGCUCUUCGCUUUGGUAGCGCAAAGUCGUCUGUAUUUUAAAGUCAAGUUUUUCCCC